This is a regulatory RNA element of Mycobacterium marinum M, 126 nucleotides long. It matches the Rfam family "Glycine riboswitch aptamer". From Rfam's summary of the family: This family represents the bacterial glycine riboswitch. Glycine riboswitches usually consist of two metabolite-binding aptamers domains with similar structures in tandem. The record is from Rfam. Lineage: Bacteria; Bacillati; Actinomycetota; Actinomycetes; Mycobacteriales; Mycobacteriaceae.
CGAUGCCUCUGGAAAGCGGUGGUGACCCGUAGCGGUCCUCGCCCGCCGAUGGGGAAAGGCGCCCGCUUGGGCUGGGCGCUGAAUCUCUCAGGCGCCUGGUGCACGGGUGAAGACAGAGGGAGAGGG